This 567-nucleotide ribosomal RNA is filed under the name Triticum aestivum (bread wheat). Its description in RNAcentral is "partial small subunit ribosomal RNA". The record is from RNAcentral. Lineage: Eukaryota; Viridiplantae; Streptophyta; Magnoliopsida; Poales; Poaceae.
AUGAUCUCUGCUAGCUCUGGCGACCUCUAUCCCUUCUUCGGCAAUAACAAGUCUUUGAGCACUGCCCUCUCCGCCACCGUCUCCACCACGGACGUGUGGCACCGCCUGCUCGGCCACCCAAGCCCUCAAGCGCUCUCGUCAUUAGCUGCUCAUGAUUUCCUUUCCUCUUGUAAUAAUAAUGUGCACACUCCAUGUGCCGCUUGUCAACUAGGACGCCAGCCUCGUCUCCCCUUUCCCUCCUCUAGUAGCCGCACGUUUGCACCUUUUCAGUUAAUACAUUGUGAUUUAUGGACAAGCCCUGUUGUAAGCUUUUCUGGAUAUCAAUACUAUCUGAUUUUGCUCGACGACUACACCCAUUAUUCUUGGUCCUUUCCACUACGCCACAAGUCGGACACCUCCUCCACACCGCAACGCUUUUUCUCCUACGUUCGCACCCAAUAUAAUGUGAUCAUCAAAGCAUUACAAUGUGAUAACGACGGUGAGUUUAUCAACUCCACCUUGCGCACUUUCUUCUCCACCAAUGUAAGAGGAAGGCCUUGCAAUGUCGUGCGGUCGCAAACGCUAUAG